This 2909-nucleotide long non-coding RNA is filed under the name Canis lupus familiaris (dog). RNAcentral describes it as "lncRNA (ENSCAFG00040004074.1)". The record is from RNAcentral. Lineage: Eukaryota; Metazoa; Chordata; Mammalia; Carnivora; Canidae.
GGAGAGCUGGAAGGGAGAAGAGUGGAGGCCAGGCGCACGCCCCUGACUCGCGCUGGACACUGCCUGUUGCUUUUAAGGCCGCGCGCCUGUGCCUCGCAGAGCUGCGCUUGGGGCUGCAGAGGCGCUCUAAGCCCCAUCCGGGAAGGUGCCACGUGGGGCAGGCGGCCUGGAGGCGCACCCUCCGCCCGCGAGGCUCCCCAGGGCCCUAAGUCCCGCCAAGGGUCCUGCUCCCCCAGCACCUGCUGCGGAGCUUGGCCGCGCCGGGUCAGGGGCAGCCCCGCAGGGCUGCACCGCGCAGUCUCAGCCUCGCGGCGUCGGCGGGGACCCCACAGGGACCUCGGGGACCCCGGGGCAUCACUGGCCGGGCCCCGCCUCGCUAGGAAGGUCCACCCCAGGCAGUCGGGACUGGGGCGGGGCCAGCGCGAGGGGCGCCCUUAUACAGCGCCUGCCCUUACACGGCGAGCCCGGCGCCGCCCGCCGGGACCCCCCACCCCCCGGGGCCGCGCCUCCCAAAACGUCUCUAACAUCCCCUGAGCAGAUUCGCUUUUUAGCAAAGGAGAGACAGGCCUCAGACUGGGAGGUCCCGGGCAGGAGAUAGGAGCUGGGUAAAUUUAAUAACACGACUUGUUUGGGUGAUUUCAGAGUUUCCAUCGAGAGUUUAGAAUUACUCUUUAUGGCACUUGGCUUUCUAUACAUGGUAGCGACAUAAUAUUCACACAUUGUUUUUAGUAUGAAAAUGUGCAGAAAUGCACACAAGGGCAUAGAGAAUGAUAGUACAACAUUCAUCUAAUGUUCAUAAAUAAAUGCGUUAAAUAGGAGCGGAUUUGUAGAAAGAAGAAGAGUACCAAGAGUGCAGAGGCAAGGCUUCGGAGCAGGCUAACAGUGCCUGGAGUUUGGCAGGGACCGCAGGAGCUGCGUGGUGCUGCAGGAGGGAACUGGGGCCUCUCCCUCCCACCGGUGGAGUGGCGGUUAGGGGGGGCCAGAUCUCGGAGCCUGGCUCCGGGCGUCCCAGGGCGUCCCAGGGAGCACCUGCCGCACGCAAAUUCCACACCAGUGCGCCCCAGCUGGCUGCCUCUAGACUCAAGUCUCCUCGCCUGGGUUAUUUCUGUAUUUGCUUUCUCCACUGCCCACCUGGGCUGCAGCCCCCUGCCCUGCACACUAGAGCCAAAGGAAUUUUCUAGACUGCUGAAACCCCUCCAGGGCUCCCCGGUGCCCAGGGACAAAGACCCAGACCUUAGCAGCACUGGUGUGCCUUCCGGGGUCUGGGGCCCACAGACCUCUCAGUGCCUUUUCCUAGCACUGCUUCCUUCCACUUUACUCUUAACCUGAGCUAUUUGCAGCUUCCUGAAUAUUCAUUAAGUAAAUAUUGAAUGCGUUGGGGUUGGGGAUUCAGCAGCAGAAAGAGCUCAGUAGCGGUGAGGAGCUCAGCAGCCGUGGUCCUGCGUGUCCUCCGUGUCCUCCGCGUCCUCCCGGCAUUCACCGGUUAGUGGGGGAGUUGAAGAAAUAAGUGUGAAAACAGUUUUUAAAGUGUCCUGUGCUGUAAAGGACUUAGGAAGUACCAAGAGAGUUUUUGCCUUCUGCCAGGAAGAUCCCCACUCACCCCACCUUGCCCUGGGGUAGUCUUUGCUGAUACAGCGUCACUGGGAACAUGGGGCCCCUUGCAUAUAUCCUUAUUGGGGGCUCCCAUCAUAUCGGGGUGGUAAUGGACGUGCCUGUCUCUAACACUGGACGAGCUCCUCGGGGAAAGUCACUUUGGUCUGGUUGGCGUGGUGUCGCCAGUAGCUGGGGCACACGGUGCCUAGUAGGUGCACAGCAGUGGUGGGCCUACUAUUAUAGCAGCUAGCCUCCGCACCGGGACCGCACCCCAGAGCAGUUCAGCCUUCAUUCAAUUCGUUCAUUCAUCCAUUAAAUCAGAGUGCAUGGGACGCCUGGGUCCCAAUCAGCGGUUGAGCGUCUGCCUUGGGCCCAGGGUGUAAUCCUGAAGUCCUGGGAUCGAGUCCCACAUCGGGAUCCCUGCAGGGAGCCUUCUUCUCCCUCUGCCUGUGUCUCUGCCUCUCUCUCUCUCUCUCUCUCUCUCUCCCUGCCCCCCUCUCUCUCCCUAUGUCUCCCACGAAUAAAUAAGUAAAAUCUUAAAAAAAAAAAAUCAGAGUGCGCCAAGCCCCUAAUGUGAACCAGUUGAUUGACAGAGGGUGAGCUCUGUGCUGGCAGACUGUGGGGCAGCCAACCAGGAAUGGGUCAUCCUGCCUGGCCCUCUGUGGGGACAACUGCCAGAGGGAGUGUCAUGUUAACAGGGCCUCCUUGAGAGAAGGUGGGAUUGGGCUUCGGGCUGAAGGAAAAGGAACUUGGAAGGAAGCAGAGAGGUGUGAGCUGGUGCAGUUGCUGGGGUGGGGCCCUAGCUGGGUGUGGCCGAGCCUUUGGAUGGGUGUGGGAGCAAGAGCCAAAGUGGGUAGGUUGGGGCCCCACAGGAAGGACCCUGCGUGCCCGCUCACUUUCCUCGCGCUGGAGAACGAAGGGCGCAUCAUCAUCUAAGACAGUGGCUUUUCAGAGUUUCCUGACCGCCCAACGGACCUACAGUAAGAUCCACAUCACGUCACAACCUGGCGCAACGUGCAAAAUUGAAACAGGCAUAUCAUGGGACAGUUUGCUACCAGCAUUCACUCUGAUGGUUUCUCUUGUGUGUUUUUUUUAAUCAUCAUCAUUAUUAUUAUGAAAUUCUGAGUAUGACUCACCAAAUUAACUUCAAGGUCUACUUGCACUUUGACCUGCACGUUGAAAACCAUGGAUCCAAGCGUCCUGCCAAAGGGUCUAGGAGUAGUCGAGAGGCCCUUUUAGAUUCAUAAAUAAUUUAAACUCCUGGGGCACCUGGGUCAGUCGGUGGAGCAACUGCUUUUGCUCAGGUCAUGAUCCCA